AUUCCAGCUCCAAUAGCGUAUAUUAAAGUUGUUGCAGUUAAAACGCUCGUAGUUGGAUUUCUGACUUCAGAUACCUGACCCUCCCUCGCUAGAGGUGUGUGUGCCGGAGUAUUUGUAUCGUCCUUUCAGUGAUCGGCUCUACCCUUAACCGGGUCGGAGCUGCUAGCUGGAUCUUUUACUUUGAAGAAAUUGGAGUGUUUAAAGCAGGCUUACGCCAGAACAUAUUAGCAUGGAAUAAUAAUUUAGGACUUUUGUUCUAUUUUGUUGGUUUCUAGGACGAAAGUAAUGAUUGAUAGGGAUAGUUGGGGGUGCUAGUAUUCGGCGGCCAGAGGUGAAAUUCUUUGAUCCGCUGAAGACUAACUUAUGCGAAAGCAUUCACCAAGGAUGUCUUCAUUA
RNAcentral lists this ribosomal RNA (396 nucleotides) under Cercozoa sp. RNAcentral describes it as "partial small subunit ribosomal RNA". It matches the Rfam family "Eukaryotic small subunit ribosomal RNA", at positions 582 to 975 of the family's 1831-position model. Lineage: Eukaryota; Cercozoa. The record is from RNAcentral.